RNAcentral lists this ribosomal RNA (549 nucleotides) under Triticum aestivum (bread wheat). RNAcentral's name for it is "partial small subunit ribosomal RNA". Lineage: Eukaryota; Viridiplantae; Streptophyta; Magnoliopsida; Poales; Poaceae. The record is from RNAcentral.
AUGAAGUCAGGUGAUAAGAAGGUCAUGAGAAGUGACAGUGAUCAGAUCAUACACCUUGAUUACAGAGACUUUGGGCGUUGGAAGGUCGAAAAAUUUGCUCGUUAUGUUGACAACCUAUUGCUCGCCCGUCGUAAUGUUGACUUGCACACAUUCCGUCUGCAUUGGGAUCCUCAUGUUCCCCUGAACUGCAAUGAUGUCAGAAAGUGGAUUCGCUACGCUGUGAAUCAUAAAGUUAAAGUGCUUGACGUGGAGCUUUGCAUGUAUGAUAAGACUAAUUUACCUCCUGGCAUUUUCACCUGCCGCUCACUUCAGGAGCUAAAUUUGCAGUGGGGUGGAGCUCCUUUUCGAGAUUAUGAGCAUAAGGGACUUGUGCUGCCUGACAUAAUCAAGCUUCCUUCUCUUAAAAAACUGACUCUACGCGAUGUGGAAGUGCACGAGCUUCCUCUGGAGAGUUUCAUUGCCCGGAGCCCUGGCCUAGAAGACUUGCAUCUGAUAGACUCUGCAGUGUGUCUUGAGCACAUAAAAUCAAAAGCGCUAAAAAGGCUAUGA